Molecule: long non-coding RNA, 173 nt
Organism: Leopardus geoffroyi (Geoffroy's cat)
Lineage: Eukaryota; Metazoa; Chordata; Mammalia; Carnivora; Felidae
Exons: 2
Source: RefSeq, a predicted model, not a curated record
CUGGGUGGCUCAGUCGGUUGAGUGUCCGACUUUGACUCAGGUCAUGAUCUCACAUUCUUGAGUUUGUGCCCCAUGUUAGGGUCUGUGCUGACAGCUCAGAGCCUAGAGCUUGCUUCAGAUCCUGUGUCUCCUCUCUCUCUCUGCUCCUCCCCUGCUUGUACUCUGUCUCUGUC